UUCAGACGGGGCGUGACAACAGUGCUGGACAAAGGGACUCCACCUCAUCUAAUUUGCCUUGACACGCUAUAACAAAGGGAUAAUACAGCGCCGAGUGAAAAGGUGGACAGUGAGUUUCGAUGCGCGAGAACAGAAAACAAAGAACAAACGCUACGACGAAGUGACAGAUGAAAAGGCAAGAUUGCUUCGAUGUUUAUGGUACUCAGCGGCACUUCACAUCAGAGGGACGGAGCUGCGCGUUGCCUUAGUGCUCAUCUCCGUCACAUCUACUUAAUUAGACUCCCGAAGCUAACGUGUUGAUAGACUCCGCAUCAUGUCGACGUUUUCCCACACACCUAUGAGACAACAGGGAAGAAGAGACUUGUCAAUCCGAAGCAUCUGCAAGCCCCUGAUGGUUCGAAGGCGAGUCAUUGGGUCGUCGUCACGUAGGAGAGCCUCUGAAUGAAGCAGCAACAGUAGCAGUAUCAAUUGCAUGGCAGGGGGAAUGAGCUGUUAUCUUCCCGCGUCCUGGAAAAAGAAAGGAAUAAGUGGAAUGGAACGUAAGUGGAACGUCUACAAAUCCUCAACGGCAGAGAUAACGAGGCACAUAAACCAUCUCUCCCUGGAAUAAAGGAUCGGCAGCACGAAUCGACUCUGCGCAUUUGUUUUAAUUUCAUUCCCUUUUCUUCAUGCGGCGCUGGAGGAAUGGUGACCAGAGAAGCUGACGAAAGUGGAUGGUUUGGCGUACGGGACUCUGUGAGGACCUUGGUCAAGAAGAGUUCAAGCAGCCAGUGGAGUGAACAGCCUUCUGUCACCCUACCCUGCCAAGCGCUCGCGUGCCUGCUGUCGGAAUUUACAAUAAAAAUCCUGC
This is a long non-coding RNA of Eriocheir sinensis (Chinese mitten crab), 850 nucleotides long. RefSeq lists it as uncharacterized. The record is from RefSeq and is a predicted model, not a curated record. NCBI's taxonomy places the organism in Eukaryota, Metazoa, Arthropoda, Malacostraca, Decapoda, Varunidae. The transcript is spliced from 4 exons.